CACAUAUUCACAUAUUCUGACUUUACACAAGAGGCUAAUGGUUAUAUCUGAGCAUUGAGUUAAUUUAAAUUUAUCAUUUAUUUGAAUAUUUUUCAAUGAUAUUUUAGUCUGUAAAGAAUUCUGUUCCAUGGAACUUGCUGAGCUCAGUGAUAACAUAUAUUACCUGAGUAACUGUUUGGGAUCAGUAGGUCAUGUAAUGUCCAAUGAGCCCAAGGAGUACAGAGAGGUUUUUCAAAGAUACAAGCCGAGUUCAAAGGAAUACAGAAGUUAGGAUAAACAAUAAAUAAGCCAUUUAGCUCUUAGGCUAACGAGUUCGCUAACGAGUUCCAAAAUAGGGCAAUAAUGAGUGGGAC
Pelobates cultripes (western spadefoot toad) is the source of this 353-nucleotide non-coding RNA. Lineage: Eukaryota; Metazoa; Chordata; Amphibia; Anura; Pelobatidae. The record is from the annotation of a GenBank genome assembly.